RNAcentral lists this ribosomal RNA (732 nucleotides) under uncultured bacterium. RNAcentral's name for it is "bacterial SSU rRNA". It matches the Rfam family "Bacterial small subunit ribosomal RNA", at positions 70 to 795 of the family's 1533-position model. The record is from RNAcentral.
ACAGAGGAGCUUGCUCCUUGGGUGACGAGUGGCGGACGGGUGAGUAAUGUCUGGGAAACUGCCCGAUGGAGGGGGAUAACUACUGGAAACGGUAGCUAAUACCGCAUAACGUCGCAAGACCAAAGAGGGGGACCUUCGGGCCUCUUGCCAUCGGAUGUGCCCAGAUGGGAUUAGCUAGUAGGUGGGGUAACGGCUCACCUAGGCGACGAUCCCUAGCUGGUCUGAGAGGAUGACCAGCCACACUGGAACUGAGACACGGUCCAGACUCCUACGGGAGGCAGCAGUGGGGAAUAUUGCACAAUGGGCGCAAGCCUGAUGCAGCCAUGCCGCGUGUAUGAAGAAGGCCUUCGGGUUGUAAAGUACUUUCAGCGAGGAGGAAGGCGUUGUGGUUAAUAACCGCAACGAUUGACAUUACUCGCAGAAGAAGCACCGGCUAACUCCGUGCCAGCAGCCGCGGUAAUACGGAGGGUGCAAGCGUUAAUCGGAAUUACUGGGCGUAAAGCGCACGCAGGCGGUCUGUCAAGUCGGAUGUGAAAUCCCCGGGCUCAACCUGGGAACUGCAUCCGAAACUGGCAGGCUAGAGUCUUGUAGAGGGGGGUAGAAUUCCAGGUGUAGCGGUGAAAUGCGUAGAGAUCUGGAGGAAUACCGGUGGCGAAGGCGGCCCCCUGGACAAAGACUGACGCUCAGGUGCGAAAGCGUGNGGAGCAAACAGGAUUAGAUACCCUGGUAGUC